UGGAAAGAUGAAUCAAAGAAGGUAAUAAUCCUGUAGUCGAAAAUGUUGUCUCUCUUGAGUGGAUCCUGAGUACGACGGAGCACGUGAAAUUCCGUCGGAAUCUGGGAGGACCAUCUCCUAAGGCUAAAUACUCUCUAGUGACCGAUAGUGAACCAGUACCGUGAGGGAAAGGUGAAAAGCACCCCGGAAGGGGAGUGAAAUAGAACCUGAAACCGUGUGCUUACAAGUAGUCAGAGCCCGUUAAUGGGUGAUGGCGUGCCUUUUGUAGAAUGAACCGGCGAGUUACGAUUUGAUGCAAGGUUAAGCAGUAAAUGUGGAGCCGUAGCGAAAGCGAGUCUGAAUAGGGCGUUUAGUAUUUGGUCGUAGACCCGAAACCAGGUGAUCUACCCUUGGUCAGGUUGAAGUUCAGGUAACACUGAAUGGAGGACCGAACCGACUUACGUUGAAAAGUGAGCGGAUGAACUGAGGGUAGCGGAGAAAUUCCAAUCGAACCUGGAGAUAGCUGGUUCUCUCCGAAAUAGCUUUAGGGCUAGCCUCAAGUGAUGAUUAUUGGAGGUAGAGCACUGUUUGGACGAGGGGCCCCUCUCGGGUUACCGAAUUCAGACAAACUCCGAAUGCCAAUUAAUUUAACUUGGGAGUCAGAACAUGGGUGAUAAGGUCCGUGUUCGAAAGGGAAACAGCCCAGACCACCAGCUAAGGUCCCAAAAUAUAUGUUAAGUGGAAAAGGAUGUGGCGUUGCCCAGACAACUAGGAUGUUGGCUUAGAAGCAGCCAUCAUUUAAAGAGUGCGUAAUAGCUCACUAGUCGAGUGACACUGCGCCGAAAAUGUACCGGGGCUAAACAUAUUACCGAAGCUGUGGAUUGUCCUUUGGACAAUGGUAGGAGAGCGUUCUAAGGGCGUUGAAGCAUGAUCGUAAGGACAUGUGGAGCGCUUAGAAGUGAGAAUGCCGGUGUGAGUAGCGAAAGACGGGUGAGAAUCCCGUCCACCGAUUGACUAAGGUUUCCAG
RNAcentral lists this ribosomal RNA (1006 nucleotides) under Staphylococcus aureus. Its description in RNAcentral is "partial 23S ribosomal RNA". It matches the Rfam family "Bacterial large subunit ribosomal RNA", at positions 343 to 1357 of the family's 2925-position model. The record is from RNAcentral. Lineage: Bacteria; Bacillati; Bacillota; Bacilli; Caryophanales; Staphylococcaceae.